AUGGCAUCUACUUCUUCACCAUCGUCCACGGCGAUCCAGAUACAUCUACCGACCAACGAGAGCGACGGUGAAAUAACAGCCAAUGGCACGUCACCGCCAAUGCCUGCCACUGGGCCUGCACCGGCCGUCGUCAUGUCCAGCGUCGUGAACCUGGCUCAGCUCCUGCCGACUGGUACGGUGUUGGCAUACCAGGCGUUGUCCCCGUCCUUCACCACGGCAAGUGCGAGACCUCCAACCAGUUGCUCACAAGGGUGCUGGUGGCCAUUCUCGCCCUAUUGGGCCUCUUCUUCUCCUUCACCGACAGCGUCAUCGGUCGCCGCGAUGGAAAGCUAUACUACGGCUUCGCCACACUACACUGCUUCAACGUGUUCAACUUCUCCAGCGAGGAAGAAAGGCAGGAGUGGAACAAUCUCGACCAGUUUCGGAGACUCCGCCUCAGGCCGCUGGACUUCGUGCACGCCUUCUUCGCGGCGGUGGUUUUCCUCGUGGUGGCGUUUAGCGACGUGGGGCUGCAGAACUGCUUCUUCCCGGGCGCCGGCAGGAACACCGAGGAGCUGCUCAAGAAUUUACCGACGGGGAUGGCGAUUCUAUCCGGUUUUUUGUGACAAUGCUCCUCGCCAGAAGGUCGUCCAUCCCUCAAAUUAA
Molecule: ribosomal RNA, 645 nt
Filed under: Triticum aestivum (bread wheat)
Lineage: Eukaryota; Viridiplantae; Streptophyta; Magnoliopsida; Poales; Poaceae
Description: partial small subunit ribosomal RNA
Source: RNAcentral